Molecule: ribosomal RNA, 253 nt
Filed under: uncultured bacterium
Lineage: Bacteria
Description: partial 16S ribosomal RNA
Rfam family: Bacterial small subunit ribosomal RNA
Source: RNAcentral
UACGUAGGGUGCAAGCGGUGUCCGGAUUUAUUGGGCGUAAAGAGCUCGUAGGCGGUUUGUCGCGUCGGAUGUGAAAACCCAGGGCUCAACCCUGGGCCUGCAUUCGAUACGGGCAGACUAGAGUAUGGCAGGGGAGACUGGAAUUCCUGGUGUAGCGGUGAAAUGCGCAGAUAUCAGGAGGAACACCGGUGGCGAAGGCGGGUCUCUGGGCCAAAACUGACGCUGAGGAGCGAAAGCGUGGGGAGCGAACAGG